Molecule: long non-coding RNA, 597 nt
Filed under: Coturnix japonica (Japanese quail)
Lineage: Eukaryota; Metazoa; Chordata; Aves; Galliformes; Phasianidae
Description: lncRNA (ENSCJPG00005002344.1)
Source: RNAcentral
AAUGGCCCUUUUUGACCCCAAAAUCCCAUUGACCCCAAAUCCCCAUUUCUGACCCCAAAAUCCCCCUUUUUCACCCCAAAAUCUCCCCAUUAUUGACCCCAAAAUCCCCCUUUUUCACCCCAAAAUCCCCAUUUCUGACCCCAAAAUCCCCCUUUUUCACCCCAAANNNNNNNNNNNNNNNNNNNNNNNNNCAGAAAUGAGUUGGGGUGCAGAAAUGGGGAGUGGUGUUGGUGAGGGGGAUUGUGGGUUGAAAAAGGGGGAUUUUGGGGGUCAAUGGGGUUUGGGGUGAAAAAGGGCGAUUUGGGUCAAGAAUGGGGAGUUGUUGGGGUGAAAAAAGGGGGAUUUGGGGUCAGAAAAAGGGAUUUUGGGUCAGAAAAUGGGGAUUGGGGUCAAAAGGGGAAUUUUGGGGUCAAUGGGUUGGGGUUGAAAAAGGGGAUUUUAGGUCAAUGGAUUUUGGGUGAAAAAGGGGGGAUUUUGGGGUCCAAACCAAGGGGAUUUUGGGGUCAGAAAUGGGGAUUUUUGAGGGUGAAUUUGGGUUUGAAAAAGGGGGGAUUUGGGGGUCAAUGGGUUGGGGUGAAAAAGGGGAUUUGGGUCAGA